This 380-nucleotide ribosomal RNA is filed under the name uncultured bacterium. Its description in RNAcentral is "bacterial SSU rRNA". It matches the Rfam family "Bacterial small subunit ribosomal RNA", at positions 28 to 407 of the family's 1533-position model. The record is from RNAcentral.
GACGAACGCUGGCGGCGCGCCUCACACAUGCAAGUCGAGCGAGAACCAGGGCUUCGGCCCUGGGGACAGCGGCGAACGGGUGCGUAACACGUGAGCAACCUGCCCCGAAGACCGGGACAAGCCGGGGAAACCUGGUCUAAUACCGGAUGCCCUCUCCUGAUCACCUGGUCGGGCGAGGAAAUGGAUUCCGCUUCGGGAUGGGCUCGCGGUCUAUCAGCUUGUUGGUGGGGUAACGGCCUACCAAGGCGACGACGGAUAGCUGGUCUGAGAGGACGAUCAGCCACACUGGGACUGAGACACGGCCCAGACUCCUACGGGAGGCAGCAGUGGGGAAUCUUGCGCAAUGGGCGUAAGCCUGACGCAGCGACGCCGCGUGGGGA